Molecule: non-coding RNA, 160 nt
Organism: Salvelinus sp. IW2-2015
Lineage: Eukaryota; Metazoa; Chordata; Actinopteri; Salmoniformes; Salmonidae
Source: RefSeq, a predicted model, not a curated record
GUACCCUCCCAUGGAAUUUGUACCUAGCGAAUAUCGCAUUGGUCUUCGGCACAGCAUAUGCUUCAAAACGAUCGUAGUAUGUUUUCAGUACCUUUGAUUCAGCCUCGAGGACCCGUGAACAUGAGCUCCACAUGCUGUUUGUACUUACGCCAUGCAUCGG